UCAUUUUUUUUACCAACAUUAAUUUUUCAUUAAUGUCAUUUAUAAUUUUUUUAUCAAUGUUAAUAAAAUUAUUUUUUAUGAUGUUAUUCAUAAAAUAUUUAUUAUUGUUAGUCAUAAAAUAUUCACUAUCGUUUGAAACUACUGCAUUGCCGAAUGACCACCGCAAAUACCUCACACCGCACACCACGAAAAGUCAUACUAUUGCACCAUGAAACCAAACGGAUAUGAAGAAGAACCAAACGGAUAUGGAGAAGAGAAAUAAGAAUUGGAAGAUGAGAAGAAACUAAUAUGGUGAGAGUUGGAGAAGGUGGGAAUCUGAAAAGAAGGAAAGUGAGACUUGAGAGAGUGGGAAUAAGACUGCGCGAGUGAAAAUAGAUAAAUAAAAAUCGAUAAAAAUUUAGAGUUUAAUAUAAUUAAAAGUAAAAAAGACUAUUUUUAUAAUUAUAAAAAUGUUGUAGAGGAUUGGAGAGGUGGAGGAAGAGUGGUGUCGGAGAGAACAACACCUUAAUAUAAAAUAGAGAAAUUAUUAUUGUUCUUUCUCUAAUAAAACAGAAUUCUAGAGACUACAUUUUGAAAUAAGGAAAAAUAUUAUUAACUAACUAAUUUUGAAAAGAUAAUUAUAAAAGUAAUAUUUCCUAGUAAUACUAUAUAUAACUUGUAAUUAAGUAAAUUUUGUACUAUUUUACGUAUUAGUACCUA
This 699-nucleotide long non-coding RNA is filed under the name Vigna radiata. Its description in RNAcentral is "long non-coding RNA (VRAD_LNC014936)". The record is from RNAcentral. Lineage: Eukaryota; Viridiplantae; Streptophyta; Magnoliopsida; Fabales; Fabaceae.